AGGAUUCGUUCAUAACGACACUGCAGACAAAAAAUCUAUCAAAACGGAACACCGCAAAGCGAAAUACUUAAAACAGCACAUGCUAUGUUUCAUUCUUACGGAUUUCUUUUCCAUGUUCCAUUUUAAUGGAUUGCUUUAUUUUUGUUUCGUAUCUGUGUAUUGAGCGACGAAAGUCUCAUUUUCAUUUCAACCGCAUCAUAUUUGAUAUGACUGUAUUGGAGUACUUAUAUACAUAGGGACAUUUGUCAGACGAAUCAGUUAGAAUUGUGCACACGAUCUAGUCCAAAGCACAAGUGAAAUUCCAUAUUUUAUCCGUAUUUUAACUGAUAACACAGCAUAGUUCCUUGAAAUUGAGCGAAAUGCAUUUUGCUAAAAUAGCUACGUUCUUGUUUUUUAUCGUGAUGUUAGUUCUCUGUUUGGCGGUGGAUGACCAACAAAAAAAGCCAGAUAAACCACGUCCAAUCGGUGAUAUCCCGAAGAAAAAUUCUAGUGUUGCAAUUUGGGCAGGACUACCGCCGAGGAAAAGAAACGGAUAACAUGUGCAUACUGUAUCAUCUAAAAAAUAAACAAACUGACCACCUUUUUGGAAGAAAAAUAAAAACAUAUUUCGAAAUUUCGAGAAAAG
Molecule: long non-coding RNA, 625 nt
Organism: Sitodiplosis mosellana (orange wheat blossom midge)
Lineage: Eukaryota; Metazoa; Arthropoda; Insecta; Diptera; Cecidomyiidae
Exons: 2
Source: RefSeq, a predicted model, not a curated record